UCAAGUUUACGAGGUUUGUUAGUACUUACAACAUUUUAUUUUCAAAUGCUUAUUAUAAAUUAAUAAAUAUGUUAAACAUUAACAAAAUUAAUACACAAAUAAAAGGACAAAUAAUUGCUUUCUGUAAUUAUUGGUUCUUAAAACAUAAAUGAAAAAUCGAUGUGAUCGAUAAACACGCAUAAAAAACAGUCGAUUUACGAACGUCUGUCUUUGACAUAUGACAUUAAAGGAUUGUAAAUGUAAAUAUUGUUACCGGCGAAAUAUGUAUAUAAAUAAAAGUGAAAUUACUUGUUGAUUACCUGAAAAUAUGACGGGGAGUCCGUUUCUACACAGGGAGGUAGUACCAGGAUAAAUCUACGCUAAUUCUAGCCACUGUGGUCCCAAUGCGGACAUUCGGUUUUAUGGCUCAUUGGGAAGCAGGCACAGCAAAGAGGUUUGGGGUUUAAUCCCUAGCAAGGACGCCCUUGUGGCGAUAUGAACGCCCUUGGGGCAAAAUGUUGAAAGACUCGAUCUUGAGAUGCCAGUCAUGCUGACCAGUGUGGAGGCAACGAGGACAGCGGUUAGAGAAAGGCUCUAACAGUCAUUCCAUACAUGCAGUGUAGCCACUGCUAACCAAAGAGUUUGGAACAA
Molecule: long non-coding RNA, 630 nt
Organism: Leguminivora glycinivorella
Lineage: Eukaryota; Metazoa; Arthropoda; Insecta; Lepidoptera; Tortricidae
Exons: 3
Source: RefSeq, a predicted model, not a curated record